Molecule: unclassified non-coding RNA, 343 nt
Filed under: rhizosphere metagenome
Description: partial ribosomal RNA internal transcribed spacer region
Source: RNAcentral
GUAGGUGAACCUGCGGAAGGAUCAUUAACACGAUACUAACGUAUCAAACCAAAACGUGCUCUUGUUGUUGACCUCUGGUUAUAGUUAGAUUGAGUUAAAGCUUAGUGUGUUGAGGAUAAAGACACUAAGUGAUUGAUUGGGAAGGUUGCAAAGCCUUUCUAAUUGAGAAUUCUUUUUAAUUAUUUCCUUAGGUUCUUUUUUUUAAACCUUUUAUCCUCACAACCAAUAUUAACCAUAUUAACCCCCUUUACAAACAACUUUGUACUGACAACAUUUCUAACUCGAAAGGGUAAGGAAUUUAAAAAACGCUGUACAACUCUUAGCAAUGGAUAUCUUGGUUCUC